Molecule: ribosomal RNA, 568 nt
Filed under: Escherichia coli
Lineage: Bacteria; Pseudomonadati; Pseudomonadota; Gammaproteobacteria; Enterobacterales; Enterobacteriaceae
Description: partial 23S ribosomal RNA
Rfam family: Bacterial large subunit ribosomal RNA
Source: RNAcentral
GACCCGUAAUCCGGGUUGCGGACAGUGUCUGGUGGGUAGUUUGACUGGGGCGGUCUCCUCCUAAAGAGUAACGGAGGAGCACGAAGGUUGGCUAAUCCUGGUCGGACAUCAGGAGGUUAGUGCAAUGGCAUAAGCCAGCUUGACUGCGAGCGUGACGGCGCGAGCAGGUGCGAAAGCAGGUCAUAGUGAUCCGGUGGUUCUGAAUGGAAGGGCCAUCGCUCAACGGAUAAAAGGUACUCCGGGGAUAACAGGCUGAUACCGCCCAAGAGUUCAUAUCGACGGCGGUGUUUGGCACCUCGAUGUCGGCUCAUCACAUCCUGGGGCUGAAGUAGGUCCCAAGGGUAUGGCUGUUCGCCAUUUAAAGUGGUACGCGAGCUGGGUUUAGAACGUCGUGAGACAGUUCGGUCCCUAUCUGCCGUGGGCGCUGGAGAACUGAGGGGGGCUGCUCCUAGUACGAGAGGACCGGAGUGGACGCAUCACUGGUGUUCGGGUUGUCAUGCCAAUGGCACUGCCCGGUAGCUAAAUGCGGAAGAGAUAAGUGCUGAAAGCAUCUAAGCACGAAACUUGC